GGGAGAUUUUGGACAACUCCAGCGUUGAGAUCAGCAAGAACGCGGACUACAGUGGCUGCAAUAUCCAGUUGCCUCCCUUCAUAGAAUAUAACGCCCCUGACGCCCCAGGUGAAAACGGAAGUGCCUACCUUUUUAAGCAAGACGACCUGACUCCAGAGGAGUGGAGCCAAAAACAAAAAGAUUUUGAGAACCACUAUUUCGACGAAUGGGUGAGCAGAAAAAUAGCUCUACACCGGUCACUACCUAAGGCCAGAUCUCCUCAGUGCAUACAAGACUACAAGAAUCUCCUACCGUCCACCGUCGUCAUCACUUUCUGUAACGAAGAGUGGGCGAUCCUGCUCCGGACAAUCAACAGCAUCAUUGACCACACGCCCGCGCAUUUGUUGGAAGAGAUCAUCCUCAUAGACGAUUUCUCUACAUUAGAUUACUUACAACUUCCUCUUGAAAUCUACAUUCAGCCAAUCAGAGAAGUCCGUCUCAUCCGGGGCUAAGCGACAUCUCGGUCUGAUAGAAGCCAGAAAUUUGGGGGGCGAAGUUGGCA
Long non-coding RNA from Physella acuta, 541 nucleotides. RefSeq lists it as uncharacterized. The record is from RefSeq and is a predicted model, not a curated record. NCBI's taxonomy places the organism in Eukaryota, Metazoa, Mollusca, Gastropoda, Physidae.